ACUCAAUGCUGGGUGCGCCGUAUUUUAUUUUAUAUUGAUACGUUUCGACAGAGUUAGAGUGGGUAGUUUUAUUUUGAUCUGGUAUAACUUACAAUUAAUGAAGAACUGGCAGAAUUCUGCUGUUCAACGAUGAAUUGCGUGUCGCAGUAUUUCCGAUCGUAUAUGUGCCUUACGGUCAUAUCAAUCGCGCCGCUCAAUUAUCACCAGGCUCGUGAUACGAGCGCUCGUAAUUACUAGCUGCGAACCGCCCUUGAGCCAAUUAGCUACGCAGUAGCCGUGGUAACACUGCAGUAACCGUGUAACAACCACGUGCAAGGAUUCACCUCUUGGCGAGCGGUCCCGAGUCCUGGGGAGAGAGGAUCGAAGGAUCGUUUCCCUGUUCGUGCACCUGCUGCGUCGUGUACGUGAGUACGUGUGUGCCUGUCCGUGUGUGGGCUGUACGAAUGUUCAUUUGUACAUGUGUGGUGGUUUGCGCUGGGUGGAGACGAUCGGAAUGAAGUGCUGCCGGCAAACAUGCAGUGGAAUUGAACGAGGGGAGAUUACGGCGGUCGAAGGACGGUCGAGGGCGGAAAGAGCGAGCAGGGCCUAAAAGUCGGACUGCGACGUGGCCAGGGCACUCUCGGCCGUCUCCUCGCGUCGUCAUAAGGGCCUCGUCACCUCGCCGCAUUCGCCGCAAUACGUCGGGUGUCCACGACGAUCCACGCGGUUGCUGAUCGAGUGGUCGCUGCAACAGAGAAAGCGAACGGGGUGAUUAGCGAGAAUGCCAGCGAACGUUACAAGCAGUCGCGUGACAGCAGAAGAGGCGACGGAUACGAGCCCUUAUCCACGCGCGCACAGCUCCCGUGAGGCACAAGUUAUGAUUACGAGCGGCCGCAGUGCCAAGGGACAUAAAUUUUAGGGCCGCUUCGGCCGACAUGCUCGAUUGAAGUACGAAAUUGGAGUCGUCGACUGCACGGCGUUUAAUAAGGACUACGUCGGCGUCGUCGUCGUCGAUAUCGGCGAUGUGGAUCAGCGGGGGACUUUGCAAGGAUCUGGAACUGACAAGGUCGAGGACGUCGUUUCCUCGAGAUACGUCUGAUGGCACUUUACGCACUCGCUCGCUUUUGGACGAACUAAUUCUUCAAUAACAGAAUGAUGAAGCAAAAAUAAUCGUGCUGCUGGCUAAUAUCACGAGGGUUUCGAUAAUAGGACAGCGCGUUUCAAAGACUACAAUGCCUGUUUCAAUCGACGUAAUGGAGGAGAAAGGUAUUGUCGCGAGGUUCAAACGAUUCAGAGGUAUUGUAAUAUCAGUUAAAAGAUUCUAAUCUGAGAAGACGCUAUAUUAAUGGAUAUUAAAGAGAAAUUCUAUGUGCUUUCUUGCACACUGCAUCGUUGUUAUCAUCAGUAAUCCUGGAUCUGCAAGCUCGUACAAAGAGGCGAACCACUACUUUAAGCUAUAAAUAUGGAUUCUAUUAGAUUAAGCGACCGCCGUUCAGAGGCUUUGCCAAAAAUCCGAUAGAUUAAAGCAAGUUGAAUAUACAUUUGUGGCCAUUAUACUUGCCACGUGAUGCAGAUGUAUAUAGCUUGUAAUCCCUGCGAUAUAUUAAAUGACCUGUUAAAUUGGUUUAUAUAUUAUAUCUAUAACACUGUUAAAUUAUAUGUAAUGAAGGUAAUGGCGAAUAUGUUUAACACGCGCGCGUUGGUUUUUGGAUAAUUGUGCAAUUUGAAUUAAUUUUCGUGUCCAUGCAAUAAUAUUCAAAUUUUAGAAAGCGUACUAGCAAUCUUCGCAAAUGUAAUCAUGCUAACCGAAGCACGCAUAAUCACGAGAGUUCGGUGUAAAGCUUUCAGUCUUGACAUAAAUUCAUUAGCGUCACGCUAACCGGAGCACGCACAGACGCACGCGUGUAUAGUGCCCAGAUGUCUGAAAUUCGUCAGAGCGGAAACCAGUUUCUCUCAUAUUAUAAUACAUUAUUGUCACUGCAUCUAUCAUCCACCAUUAACGAAAAUUGCUGCAUGCGAAGAGAAUUUUCACUUUUUAUUCUGAGACUCUUUUCGUGCAUAUUUUCAAAUAAUAUUUCUGAAAAAUGUCGUCACUUGACAUUCUUGUGAAAUUUUCAAAGCUCUCUCUUUCGCUCAUUCAUAUUAUUUAAUCAUAUCUCCGACAUGUCGGGCUGAAAUGUCGUCGUAUAUUAGAAUGAAGUCUAAUCACAUAAAUCGACAGAAGAGGGGUGGUGAUUUAUCGCGCAUAAUCAGGGCUAAAAAUAAUCCUAACGGCGUCGUGCCUUACUCAUGUCUCGUUUCGAUCCAUUUUCGCACCACCGACGUCAACCCCUUAUUCGAGGAAUUAUGGAACGGAACUCGGGAUCACGUUGCAAUAUAGCCGGCUGUUUUAUUCCGCCUGCGUGGGACGUUUCUGAGGGCGAUCUUUAAGAUGUGCUCCCUAUUUUUUUACACGUGCUACGCAUAAAUAUUCAACGAGAUACAAGUGCCUAUACGGGUGGCUACCUACGCAGGCUUUACCGCCUACCAUCACCGUAAUGCGAUCUUUUUUAGUACAUGCAAAAUUACGCUAAUGCAAUAUCAUAAAAGAUCCACCCGUUCCCCCGGGCGAGCUUCUUUUCCGUUGAGAAUGUGAAAUUAUGAGGAAAGCCAGCAUCAGAAAUGCAAUACAUCCGACUCUUCAAUUCGCAAAGGGAUGUAUCGUUGUGGCGAUCAUUUACACCAUUACGAUCCUCUGCGAGUGCUCGCGGAGAACGUUACAUUUUUCUUGCUGCAACAAUCUGCGGAAUUUUCGAGCGUCCAUUAAAUAUCACUUUAUUCGUGAAAUAUCUUUGACCGUAAAUGCUGAUAACGUGCGUCGUACAGCCAACCCCGAAAAGUGAGAUUUAUUGCAGGAUUCCAAUACCACGAUCUUGGGAGCAUCCUCGAGACGCACUUGAGUGUACGGGCGACUUGAAUCACGCGAAAUUGGAAUAUUAGAUUACACUGUGCGCUAAUUACGCGUCGCACAUUCAAUCGACGCUGAGUCGCGACUCGUCGCCGCCUUCGCGCCCUUCGCUCCCUUCGCAAUAAGAACGCAAUUCGAAGGACAAAGGCGUGGUGAAAUCUCAUGGACGAACGGCGGGACAAUGGAUGCAUUUCUACCUUUCAAUUGUCAUAUCAAGCAUGACAUUGCGCGUAGAAACGCAGUUCGCUCAUGUCAAUGCAUCCCCCGGAGUGGCCUCUGACAUGCUGGUCGUACGGGUGCGAUAACAAAUAUACGAAAAGACCGUAUUCUUCGCGCGCGCUCGCCGAAAUCACGUACAAAAGUUGUCAUACAUGUUCGUCGCUGUUCGAAAGUACGCUUGAAAUUUUCAAAGAAAAUCUUGCAUAAGCUUGAGCAGAAUUCUAAUAUUUGCCCGCAGCCGGUGAUAAAUGGCGACUUUGGGACCUGAAGGCGAUCGUUCCUGGAGGCCUUUAGCGUGUGUGUGUAUGUGUGAGCGCGCACAUGUAUUUGUGCAUGUCGUGACUAUAACUGAAUGAGAAUCCGUUACAUAAUUUCGACGGGAAGACGUUACGCAACUUUAGAAAAUUUAUGAAAGGUUCUAUGGAAGAUCUAGUCUACCUAGACGCAAGAUAAUAGUGAUUUGUAAUUCUGAGAUUUCUUUCACACAGGUCGCGCGUGCAAUGUUCUCCAUUAUCUUAUGUCAAGAGACUGAAUUAUUCGCCGAGCCUCUUGACCGCGCUCAGGGCAUAAAGUUGAUACUUCAAUACUCUCCACAUAGAUUCGUUGCUCGCGGCAGCGCGCAUAAGUAGGAUCGGCUCAAAGUCCCUUCGAGAGGAAAGUUCCCGAGCUUAAUGUAAUGCGUUGGAAAGAUUGUGCGCGGUCAAUGCCAGAGCCAUACAUUGGAAAAUGGUCGGGCACACAGCGGAAGCGCGCGCAUGGUCGGUCGAUGAUGCCGUGCUUAUAUCCUGAAAAAAGUUGGAGGUGAAAGCCUUCCUCUGUCCGGAUAUAUUAAUACCCUUCGAAGAAAAACUGGAGCACCUCUCUUCGAUGCCGGGUAUGCCUUUGACAGAUUGUCCACGGAAAUUUCGCAGAAUUGAUGGCGGAGUCUGCGAGAUGACUCCCAACAGCAGAUUCAAUUCGGAUUUAUAUUGUGUAUAUUGUGUUAGCGGUAUACAGUUCCGUGCCCUUUUCGCUUUAUCUUUGGAAAACUGUCUCGAGAGUCCUGCAAAAUCAUACGUUUUCAAAGCCAGAAUCAUACGUUUUAUUUGAAGUGUGUCGAUUUCUUCGUACGAACUUCUUGUCGUCGAGAUUUACUUUUAUUGACCGUUCACCCGUAAUCUUUGACUUGUUCAAGUUAACAGCAGAGAUUUGCCCGCUCCUUUUGUUACGUAAAAGUACUUUAUUGCGGUGGACCACUGCUGUUACGAUAUCACGAUGUUCCACCGGAGAGAUAUAACGAUUCCAUCGAGAGCGAGAUGACUUUGAGGAAACUCAUCGAUCGCGCGUGUUCAAUUUUUUUUUCGUGAACUUGAAACUUGAAAAACUGCUUUUCUACAAUUUUAUGGUGAAUUAAUCGGGUGUUACCAUUAGCUGCUGGGUCAUCGAUUUAAGAGGCGAUUAAAAAAUUGCGAGCGACGUUAUGCUCACUGGAGUAUUUUACAUAAAGUGUCGUCUCGCUUGUGCCAUUGCGGAAUAAAUUUAUAAAGCAACCUGAAUUUCCACAAAUAUAUGAAAUAUAUAUAAGAAAAUGUUAAAAGUCAAUUUCGAUGCAAAUCAUUGUGCGAAUCUUUGGAGAGGUGUCAAACAUUCGCCAGCGCAGUCGUUCCAAUCAGAAUUCACAGAAUCGCAAAUUAAUGAAAUUAAUUAUGCGGAUAGAGCUCCCUGAUGAUUUGCAUAAUUAAAUUGCUCUAAAUGAAGCAUACACUCGCAUUUAGAAUUACGCUGGUGUAAUUAUCGUUUUCCAUUUGCUAGUUUUUGCCACGCAGAGUAUCAUUCUUCACAGUCACAAACGUGUUCGCGGUAGGAAAAAGAGAAAGAAAAAAAAACAAGAACAUGUGGCGCACUGUCGACCUUUUAACAUCACGUGUAAACUUUAAGAUUGCACACGUUAAUUAACUUUAAUGUGUCGCCGCGAGGUUUUUGUCGGCAACGACCGACGAGCUAAUCGCAUUUCCAAUUACUCGCGGCAGGAAAAACUGCGUCGCUUCUGUCGCGUUCGCUCCUCCGUUCAUAACCGAAUCAGCAGCCUCAGUUCUGAACGGAUGUUAGCCGUUACGAAAUUCAGGUUAACCGCUGAUAUAUAGAACAACACAACGUCGAAGCAUUCACGUGCAGGAUCCCGCGAAUCCCUGACCUAUAUCCCUUAAAACAUCGUAUCGCCAUUAUGUGCGCCGCCUCUCACCCUCGCAUUCUCCCACACGUGUGUGAAACACACGUACACCGUGUACACCGCACACGUACAUUCGUGUAUGUAUUUUUUUUGCGUAUAUAAAUUUUGCGCAUCCUCCUUUCUUUUUUUUUCCUUUUUUAUUUUUGUCGCACAUUCGGGAUUGCAUAUGCACCGAAUGUCGUCGCACGCCGUUCUCCUGCAGAUAGGGAGCGAGCGGAGGAAAUCACGGUAUUGCUCUUAUUCGUAAAGGGACCGGUUUCCUUUACGGAUAAGCCACUUCCGGGAGACGGAAGCCCGUUUCUCCCGUAGCGUUGGAAUCCGAUAAAAUUUUGGCCCGAGAAACUCACCCGUUCUAACAGAGUGUAAAUAAAAUCGUAAAAAAGCGCGCGUUUAGUCGUGAAUCUGCGCUUUUUUAGCGGGCCUAGAGAUGUGCCAUUAGGAAAUGUUAUCAGGAAAGUGCUGUUGGGGAAAGGAAAAGAUUUCGUGUGUCCCGUGAAUUACGUUUAUCGACUUUUCCAAAUUUUCCCUGAUAACGUACGUCGUCUCCUUAGGAAACUGGCACGCGACGUAAUGGUGCACGUUGUAACGAAUGAUCCUGCCAUCAUUCUCGCAGCAGAUAUAAAUCCUCAUUAACUGUUUGCGUGACUUCUUGCGGAAUAUGUAAGAUUCAAGAUGAUUCGCGUUACGCUGAAUACCAUUUUCACAGAAUGCCCUUCGGGUCUCUCAGAAAAGUUGCGACAAAAUUUUCCGCAGAAAUUCCGUGCGACAAUUCCGCCGAGAAUUGCGCGCGGUCCAUGCUCGAAUAUGACACGCACGUAACAUACGCGGGGAAUGGCGUCUAUAUAUUUAGUGAUUAUGUAAUAGAAUAGAAGUUUCUUCCAAGCAAGUUCUAAGUCGCUCAAGUUCCAGAGUCGGUUUAGUUUGCCACGAAUGUAGAAGCAGUUACAUGACGAGGCUGUGGAAGUGUUGUGGGAGAGACUUUGGAUCCGAUUAUGGAGUUUUGAAACCCGGUUUCCGUAUCGGGUGCACUCCGCAUUCGAAGAGUACUCCUUCCUGUGUAAGUUAAUUGUUUAUUAUGUGUCCUCUAUUAGAUGUGAGUGCUAAUAGUGAAGAUGCACACGUAUGCGUACGUUGGCUUGAUGAGACUUUAACCAAUCUUUGCUGCAAUACUUGUCCACAAAUAAUUUGCGACACACUUGAGUUUUUGGCACACUUGAUAAUUAAUAAUUAAUUGUUCCGCUUGAUUGAUCAAUGUUUGAUGAAAGGAAUUUUGUAAUUUUUGCCAUAGUUGUUCAGGCAUCUCAUAUGGACGCGAUUAAGAGGAAAGUGGAGGCAAUUAUUGUGUUUGCGUGAGAGUGGCUUACAAGCUCUCUCGCAAAUGUAGCAAGAAGUUGGCGAUCAAACGAAGCUGAUUUCGAAUUGGAGCGCAUCCAAGAACUUUUAGCUAAUAACGAGCAGUAGAGAGAGAGAGAGCUGGUCGGUUACUGGUGCGAGUUUAUUUCGCCAACGAGAUUAAUCUUCAUCUCGUGGCACUCGAACACUAUUAAAUUUUCGCGUUUUGUUGAACGUCAUCGCCGUGCACAUGAAUCAUUACGUCACGUUCAACAAAGCGGAAUAAUUAUCGAUUGUUUACAAAUAUGUGGAAAUAUUGCAUGAUAUAAACAUGUUGUCGAGCAGGAAAAACCUAUCCUCUUGAAAUUCGGUGAAGAUAAUUAAAGUCAAACGAUUUACGCACGGCUGAUGCUGUACGUGUCGCGCAUACAGAAGUUCCAGCAAACAGAGGCGAAACUUUAUCGAUUUUGUCAUGAUUUUGUUUAUUUUAUCAAACACUCGCUCAACCUCAUCGCCAUGGUGAUACAUCACCGUGUGAGAAUCGAUUCGCGUGUUCGCACGCGGUCGUGCACCGCUGAAAUCGCUGCUCGCUUCGGGAUAAAUCCGGAAGUGCACUGCCUCGGAUUCGAUAGAAAUAAUUAAACGCGUUGGUGAAGCUUGUAAUGAGGAGAAUUAAUUAUAAUUUGAAGCCUGGCAUUCUCUCUUUCAGCGGGCGCGCGUGCGUUUAUGUAUCGGGAAUUCAAUAUUACUUAUAAAAGCAUCAUGCAAAAUUAAUUAUUGUGCCGCCAUAUCGCGCGAGCGGUGGGCGUGUAAUUAAAUUACAAAAACAGAAGGUUGUUAUAGUUUGCAAUAACGCCGUCCUCCUUAAUCCGAUGAAUGCACACGGGGAUGCUUAAUCAACGUCGCGGGGGAGGAGAAUCCACUCCCUGACUGUUACCGGAAACAUCGGCGAGCAAUUUCCGUGGCGGAGCCCCCGCAGACGUCUGUUGUUUGCGAUAUUUGCGGUUUGUUAUGUAGCAAGCAUGGGAUAGCAACUAUGGCACUGCUUAUCCCCGGCGUUGAUACUAGACUAUGUACUCUGAGCUAUAAUAUACGUUAUAUUGCACGUCACUCACGCGCAACUUGGCCGUGCGAGAUGCAUAUAGUAUCGAACUUAAGUUACUGCAUUAAUAAACAGCUCGGCGAGUAAUCAAAGAUGCGUAACUGUAAUCCUGAAGUCGAAAGUAAGAAAUACUUCCGGAAGACGACUUCCGCGAGUGAAUUACUUUUGAUCGAAGUGCACAUGCAAAUAUAUAUACGUACGCGCGUAUAUAUGUAUAUUUGAUAUCGAAUAUCAGACGGUAAUGCUCACGCAAUGUUUCAACGUUGAGAGGCAACAUUGUCGAGCAAGGUAAAACGCACUUUUCACGCAUUUUAAAUGGGGGGAAUACGGUAGGUUGAUUUAAUCAAGAUGUUUUUUUUCCAGUUUUGACCAUCUGUCACGCUGGAUACGUUUGUGUCAGGAAUCGUGACGCACACAAAUUGUCAAUGUCACAUGAUUAAUUCGCAAUGGCCCGUAGCCUCAUUGGACGUUAAUAAACGAGGCUUUAGAUCACCGGAGACCAAAUAUCCCAUCAAAUCAGCGUUCUGCCAGUGCGGCGUGUUCAACCAGUUGGCUGAUCGCGCGGAAGAUGAUAUGAACUCGAGUUUCAGUUAGUCGAAUACGUCGCUUUAAAGCACCAAUUUGCUGCGUACGCAAGCCCCAACUGGCGGUGUACUGGUCUCGCAUAUAAUUUUGCCAGCAUGAAGAUGAGAGACGGCGCACGAUAAUAUAUCAGGAAAUUCAAUAGUGUAUAUGUACGUGCAACUCGAUAGAGCGGCAUAUGAGUUUCGGCAAACAAAGUAAUUCGGGACAUGAUAUCCCAGCGCACAAGUCGUAAAUCGCGAAACGUUUCACGGUAGGGUGAUUUAACAAAGUUGCAAAUUUAUCACCGCUUUGCCAUUUAAAUGAAUUUCUAUUGCGCGAAUAAAAAAAUUGUGCGAGUCUCUAGUUACGUAAGACUUUGACGAGAGCGCCAAGGCACGAUUAUAAAACGUCAGCGUAACGUCGUUUGCAGAAUUCUACGACUCAAUUUGCAUUCAUGUCAAGUGAAACACCUCGAGUGAAGAGCGACAUGAUAUUCCACGCUGGCAAGUUCGGCGUACUGCCGGAAACGCGAUCAAAAAUUGAUAGCGAGAGGUACAGUGCCAACGAUAGAGGAAUUAUUGAUGAUCUUCUGGAAACUAGUUCCCAGUUUAGCCAGUCAGAGAAUUUCCACUCUUUCAUUCUCUUUAAACGUACGUUUAAUCCAGAUUAAAGACAUUUUAAUUAUUAAAGCCAGGCAAAUUGGUGUAUUAAACAUUACUCCUUAUAUACGGCUCCUCCUAGCUUAUACAUUCGAAAGCAUUUACGAAACAAUUAAUCUACUUCUCGUGCACAUCGCACAAGCGCAGAUAAAUGCACGUACGAACUCGGGAUUUCCGA
Molecule: long non-coding RNA, 9189 nt
Organism: Ooceraea biroi (clonal raider ant)
Lineage: Eukaryota; Metazoa; Arthropoda; Insecta; Hymenoptera; Formicidae
Source: RefSeq, a predicted model, not a curated record